AUGGCGAUUAGUCCAAGGUCACCGCCGCGACAGAGCGCGGGGCCCGGGCUGCGACUUACGAUUUCUGCAGACCGCGCUCCGGCCACGUGGUCCCGCGGACACAGCCCCGAGGGAAAGCCAGGCCGCCCCCUCAGCGAGCCGCCCCGCCCCGCUCGCCCGCCGGAAACCGCGCGGCCCACCAAUCCCGGCUCCUCUCUCCCGCAAGACUCUCUCCCUCUUCAGUGGCAAGACCUGAGGAAGAACAAGGGUUCUCAUUGGACUAAGACAGUUCAGGGUCCAUGUCAUCUGAAGACAUCUCUCUACACCUCAGCGUGGGUUCAUGUACUCCUGCACUCAGCAACACAGAUCUCCAUUCUACCUGACUCUAGGUGGGUUGGACCAAAGUGGCCCCGUGAUCCGGUAUUAUUAUCCAGUUUUCUACUGCUGUGUAAGAAAUUACCACACAUCAGGGGAGGAGGGGCAAGAUGGCGGAAGAGUAGAGUCUCCAAGUCACCUGUCCCCACCAAAUUACCUAGAUAACCUUCAAAUCAUCCUGAAAAUCUAUGAAUUCGGCAUGAGAUUUAAAGAGAGACCAGCUGGAAUGCUACAGUGAGAAGAGUUCGUGCUUCUAUCAAGGUAGGAAGACGGGGGAAAAAGAAAUAAAGAAACAAAAGGCAUCCAAGGGGGAGGGGUCCCAAGAGGAGCCAGGCUGAGGCCGGGGCGAGUGUCCCCAGGACAGGAGAGCCCCGACCCGGAGAAGCAGGAGCUGCACCAACCUUCCCAGGCGGAAAGGCCUCGCAGGGAGUUGGAGCAGGACCCCAGGAGGGCGGGGAUGCCCUCGAGCUCCCUGGGACAGUAACAGGCACCUGCGCCCCGGGAGAGUGCGCCGAGCUCCCUAAGGGCUGCAGCGCGCACGGCGGGACCCGGAGCAGCUCGGAGGGGCUCGGGCGGCGGCUCCGCGGAGGGGGCUGCGGGGCGGGAGCAGCUCGGAGGGGCUCGGGGGGCUCCGCGGAGGGGGCUGCGGGGCCGGAGCAUGAAUCCAAUGGCGCAGACCCCGGAGCACAGGGCGCCGGGACACAGCCCAGGAUCCGGCCUCCCCCUGGGACAGGCAGAGGCCAGGAAGGCCCAGGACCGCAAGGCCCCAAGCUGAGCAGAUCAGCGGCCCCACCCUGGAGCCUCCAGGCCCUGCAGACAGAGAGCUCUGUAGUUCCUGCGGGAGCUGAAUCCAGGGCUCCAGAGCUGGCCCCACCACUGGGGUUGUUCCUUCUGGGGCCUCACCGGGUGAACAAACCCCACUGAGCCCUGCACCAGGCAGGGGCAGAGCAGCUCCCCCAAGUGCUAACACCUGAAAAUCAGCAUAACAGGCCCCUCCCCCAGAAGACCAGAAAUUACCACACAUCAUAGUGGCUUGAAGCAACACCCAUUUAUUACUCCACUUUCCCUGAAUCAGCUUAGCUGGGUCCUCUGUUCAGGGUCUCCCCAAGCUAAAAUCAAAGUAUGGUGGCUGUGUUCUAUUCCAGGAGCUCAACUGAGAAUCUGCUUCCAAGUUAAUUGACAGAGUUCAUUGCCUUGCUGGUGUGUGACUGAAGCCCUGGGUUUUAAGUCCCUCACUCCUAGUUCCUGGACAUGACUCACAGCAUCCUGUUUGCUUUUCCUUCUUCCUGACCAGCAGAGGGACCUCUUUUUCCAGUUUGCUAACAGACUUUAAAAAAAAUUAUUAUUUUAAAUUGAAGUAUAGUUUAUACAUAAUGUUAUACUGGUUUCAGCAGUACAGUGUAGUGACUUAGCAAUUAUGCCAUGCUCACCACAAAGGUAACUUCCAUCUGUCCCCUACAAGGCUUUUAAAUAACCUAUUAUAUUCUCUAUGCUAUACUUUUCAUCCCCAUAACUGGAAGCCUAUACCUCCCCCUUCCCUUUGCCCAUUUUGCCUCCACCCCCAACCUCACCUCCCGGCAACCACCAGUUUGUUCUUUGUAUUUAUGGGUCUGUUUCUGCUUUUUUGUUCUUUUUUUCAUUUGUAUUGUUUUUUUAUUUGUUUCUUGGCUUUUGUUUUGUUUUUCUUUAGAUUCCAUGUACAUGUGAAAUCAUAUAGUGUUCGUCUUUCUCUGACUUAUUUCACUUAGCAUAAUGCCCUCUGUACUGUAAAUUGUAAGACCUUGUCAGGAGGGAAUCUCAUAUCACGUAAUAUAAUCAUGGGAGUCACAUCUGGCCACGUUUUCCAUUUAAUGUAACCUAAUCAAGGAGAGACAUGCCAUCACUUUUGCCAUAUGCAUCUACUGGAAGCAAAUCAUAGGUUCUUCCUAAAUUCUAGAUGAAGAGAUUAUGCAAAAGUCAUCACAGGGUGCAUCUUCCACAGUCCUCAUACAAGGAGACUCCCAAUCCAUUUUUAAGUUCAAGUCCAUUUUUAAAGCCUCUUAUGAGAAAUCUCUGCAAGAGGGCACUGGGUGGCUCAGUGGUUGAGGGCCUGUCUUCAGGGGUCCUCGGAUGGAGUUCUGCAUCAGGCUUCUUGCAGGGAGCUUGCUUCUCCCUCUGCCUAUGUCUCUGCCUCUCUGUGUCUCUCAUGAAUAGAUAAUUUUUUUUUUUAAAGAAAGCUCUGCAAGUUUUGUUGAGGGAAAAGCAAGAAACAGGAGGCUUUGGUCUUAAACUUUUAGUGUCCCUACAGUCAUAUCUUUUAGUUUACCAAGCAGGGGAAUAUUUAUGUGACUGACCCUGUUCUGCCCCCUAAUAGCCCCUCCCCUCUGCUCUCUGAAACCAGGUCUUACACCUAUAUGCACAUCUUUCAUGUACAAAGGGCUCCUGUAUGCUUCCAACUUUAAAUCUCUGUGAAGGCAGUUUUUUUUAGACACUUCAACCAAAGCAGCAUAUUGCGACAAACUCAAUGCAGAAGACCUUGUGCACAUCCAACCGUUUUGCAUUAAGCCAGACAUUGAAAAGAUUUGCACAAAUGUUAAAAACAAUGCAAUGCAUCAUGAAUUUUUUUCCUAAUUUUUGACUGUAGUCUUAUUUUAUUGCACUUUUAAGAUUAUAUUGUUUCGUUUCAUUUUGUUUUGUUUUACAGAUUGAGGGGUUGUGGCAAUCCUGUAUGAGCAAGUCUACCUGUGCCACUUUUCUAAUAGCAUUUGUUCGCUUUGUGUCUCUGUGUCACAUUUUGGCAAUUCCCACCAUACUGAAAACUUUUUCAUUAUUAUUAUAUUUGUUGUGGUGAACUGCGAUCAGUAAUUGUGACUCACUGAAAGCUCACAUGAUGGUUAGCAGUUUUUAGCAAUAUUUUUAAUUAAGUUAUGGACUUUUUUUAGACAUAAUGCUAUUGCACACUUAAUAGACUACAUAAUGCUAUUGCACACUUAAUAGACAUAAUGCUAUUGCACACUUAAUAGACUACAGUGUAACAUAACAUUUAUAUGCACUGGGAAACCAAAAAAAAUUUGACUGACUUUAUUGAUAUUUGUGAUAUUAAUUUAGCGAUAUUCACUUUACUGUGGUGGUCUAGAACCAAAUCCACAGUGUAUUCAAGAUAUGCUUGUACAUAACAAAAUAUAUAUCACUUAUAUGUACUUACAUGUACUUGGCUUAGAUUGUUACGUGUAAUUAAACUAAUAAAGCUUUUAAAAAUGUUUUUCAAUUUUAAUUAAUCUGGUAAAUGCUCAAAAUGUUAUCCACAUGGACAAAAGCUUUGGGGAUCCUUAGUAAUUUUCAAUAGUAUAAGAAGAUGCUGGAACCAAAAAGUUUGAGAACUGUUUACUUGGGACAGUUCUUUACAAAACAAUAAAAGAAUAGCUUUUCCCAAAUGGUGAUAUGCCUAGUGAUGAUUCUUUUCUCUGUAUAUAGCUGUAUUAUUAAUGAACCUCAUGCUAGCCAUCCUAACAAAGAGUUUGUGAGUACGGUCAUGACAUAACCUCGGGCAUUUUCCAAGGUCCCUGUGGUUGCUGUAUGGUCCUUGUGGGAGAUCCUGGCUUACAUAUGAGUGGCUUUAUGGACAUCUUGGGGGUAAAAUCAGCAGGGCUUGCUUUUGAAGAGAAUUCAAGUCAUAAGGGUAAGUGAAGGGUCAAAGGUAUCACCUGGAACUUCAGCUUGACCACCUGACAUUGGGAAGAAUGAGAAAGAAAUAAAUAUGAAAACAUACCUAAGAAGUCUUUGGGGCCAUGUUAGAUUUGCCAUGUCUCUACUUCUGGGUACUAAAAACAAGUACAACGAGCCACAUGCAAAAUAAUCCUCUUCACAUAAAACCAUAAAUAUACACAAUAUUUAUUUUCUUCCAUUCAUUCAAUAACUAGCUACCAAUGCUUUCCACGGACUUUAUAAUACUUUGGGAGUGUUGGGCAGAGAAUCAUGAACAGAGCAUUAAAAAUCUUGGUCUUGGGGAUCCCUGGAUGGCGCAGCGGUUUAGUGCCUGCCUUUGGCCCACGGCGCGAUCCGGGAUCGAGUCCCACGUCGGGCUCUCGGUGCAUGAAGCCUGCUUCUCCCUCUGCCUAUGUCUCUGCCUCUCUCUCUCUCUCUCUGUGACUAUCAUAAAUAAAUUUUUAAAAAAUUUAAAAACCUUGGUCUUAAUCGAUUAUGCCUAAUUUAUGCUGGCAAACAUUCUUUUGGAUGCACAAUGAUGUGUCUGUAACAU
RNAcentral lists this long non-coding RNA (4591 nucleotides) under Canis lupus familiaris (dog). Its description in RNAcentral is "lncRNA (ENSCAFG00040017155.1)". Lineage: Eukaryota; Metazoa; Chordata; Mammalia; Carnivora; Canidae. The record is from RNAcentral.